GCUCGCAGAGCAGAGCAUUGCUGUGCAGACUCUGCUCGGAGCAGCAAUGUCUCCACUCUUUUGUCAUUUAAAAUUUUGGCUUUUAUGGGGAUGAUCUGUGCAGCUUGGAUUAACAAAAACGAGGUUUCCGGGAAAUAUCAUUGGAACUGGAAGGAAUGGUUUCUUGAAGGGUGCUGGCUUCAUCCUCCUCAACAGCAUGACCGGCUGUUUGUGACCUGCGUGCUAAAUCAAGUUCAAAGAGGACCACUGGCGUUUGGCAGAUAGUUUUACACGAGGGCAGGGGGAGAACCAUUUGUUUGGUCAACCUCUAGCUCCCCCUUUGAUUCGGGACUAUCUCUGACCCCCCCGACCUCCAGCAGGCAGAGUGACACCGCUAAGAACUGUUCAUGCUGCUGCUGUAAUGAAGUUCAUAACGUCUGCAGAAUGAUGUUUGCUUUUAUUUUUAAUGCCCAGUUAAUUAAAAAUGUCGAGUUUUCUUACUGUAAUGCACAGAGCACUUUGAAAAUCUUUAUCAGCACAAAAGAUAAUAAACUGUAACAAGGAAAGCAUAUGUUGGACAUUUUUGGGUGGUAAACUAGUUUUUUUUUAACAUUUUAAAACCAUCAUGCUUGUAGUAUUUGUAUAUUGUAAGGCUGAGGGUGCAUGACCUGCAGGAUCAGAUUGGAGAGUCUAAAUGAAAAAUAUUACUGAUAUGUAAUCUGUAAGAUGAUUUUCUUUUUACUAUUUUUGUCAAAUUUAAGCUAAAUAUGUAACAGCAUCUUAAAUGUAAACUGUUGUAUUUGAACACUGCACAUUUUUCCAUGGAACUGCACAAAUAACUCAAAAGUUGUCAGAAAAAAAACAUUAUUUGUAUCACAAAUGUAUAAUGUCACAUUUUAAUUGGAUGUUUGCUAUGUUAUUGGAAAAAGUUAAUAAAAUGUCUAAAUUAAA
Molecule: long non-coding RNA, 930 nt
Organism: Oryzias melastigma (Indian medaka)
Lineage: Eukaryota; Metazoa; Chordata; Actinopteri; Beloniformes; Adrianichthyidae
Exons: 2
Source: RefSeq, a predicted model, not a curated record